Molecule: ribosomal RNA, 2726 nt
Filed under: Triticum aestivum (bread wheat)
Lineage: Eukaryota; Viridiplantae; Streptophyta; Magnoliopsida; Poales; Poaceae
Description: partial small subunit ribosomal RNA
Source: RNAcentral
ACCCAUCCAAGCCACCGCAUACCACGCCGCAAGUCGCCUCAUGCCGCCGCCGCUCGCCCCUUUCUCUGUAGGUCGCCAACGCAACCCUGGGCCCCAGGAUCGUUCCCUCCUCCCCACCAGGCUAUUGGCUCCGCAGCGGCCGCAAUCCUGGGCAUCAGGAGCGCGCAGCCGCCGCAAUCCUGGGCAGAUCUAGCCGGGGCCGUGGGCAGCCAUCCCUCCAUCCGGGCGGCCAUGAAGAAUUGAAGCGGCUUGCGCAGAACUAGCGCAUGGACCAUGCGCGCCUCCCGCGCUAGGAGCCACCGGUCCUCGUCAUCUGCUAGCAUCCACGAGGAAUCGAUCCAUAUGUAAGCUACCUUCCACAAUAAUCCAUCCAACAGGCUGCUUGCUUGUUUGUGUACUAGUGCCAAGGGGAGCAAGAUGCAAGGACGACAUUGAGGGUACAUGCCUGAUUCUCCUGGUAAUAAUAGUAGUACGUACGUGUUCCUGCCCGUGGUGGAGAUGCAUAUACCCGAAUACCCGUAACAUAUCCAUACAUACUCGAAUACUCUCAAACUGGCAUGUAUACAUACAUACCCGAAUACCUGUGUGAUUUUUUAAUUCAGCUAAAUAGGUCUACUGAUUGUCAGAUUGGGUAGUAGAAAUUGUGAAGAGCAACACGGACAUGUACUUUACUGAUAGGGAAUGUAGGUGUAAUACAUAGUGCUUUUCAUGGUAAGGGUUCUAGUAGAUGUAUGAUCAUUUUAGUGUAGUAUAUCCCAACUAUCCCAACUUCACUAUGAAAAUACAGCAGAAACUUGUCUGUUUAUUUCACUUUAAUUAUUAUAUUUCUCGUAUCUCAAUCUCAUAUGCUUGUUUGAUAUAAUCCAAUGGGUGAUAGCAUCACUUUUUACAACUACCCAUCAGGGUUACCUUUUUAUUUAGGUAAAUGUAAGACUUCAUCACCUUUUACCAAGUAUCCAUCCUGUCUACAUUAUGCGCAAAAUAGGUUCCACAUUUAAUUCCAAAUUUGUUGAAUAUAUGGUUUUACUGCGUGCUUAUAGUCUGUAGCUCUUGGCUGUACAUCUGUUUCUAUCUCAAUCUAUUUAUCAUUCUACUCUUACAGAAUGUUUGAGGAGAGCUCGGUUAGUGUCAACACCUCAAGGGUUUAUGCAUAUCAGUUCCUUCUGCUUAAAGCCAUUGUAAUGAUGGCUACUGGUUCCAGGUAUAUGUUUAUGGAGUCAUAUGGCGCGCUCUUAUAACUUUGCCAUGGAAUGUCUAUUGUUAGAAAACAUCUUGCGAGUACUUUGGUUAGGUACUAGAAAGCACAUACACACACAUGCCCAACACAGCAACAAGCACGCACAUACAACACAACACAGAUGCUCUGCUCCUGAUUUGCCAAUAGUACGCUUAUGCUUUGCCACUCCGAAUUUUUUGCACUAUGAGCCACUUUGCAUGUGCUUGCUCAUGUAGUGACCUGAUUGACAGUUGUUUGUGUUGCCGUGUUCAAGCUCGUGCUACAGCAGCAACCCAGCAGCAAAACUCUGAGCUCAGCCAGCAGGUCAACGAAUUACACGAUCAACUACAAGCUGAACGUGCAAACACACAAGAGAGGAUUAACUUGGAGCGUGUUGAGAGAGAACAACUUCAGGAGAGGUUAGAAGAAGAGCGUGCUGAAAGGGAAAUAUUGUUGGAAGAACUGGAAUUUGAAAAAAACACGAUGUCAAAGUUUGCAAAAUGGAGCCAGCAAAUGGGAACCCGUGAUUAUAGUCAUAUGCUUGCAACCUUGUAAGAUUUAUGUUGCUUGCUUACAUUGCUAAAAGUGCACUUCUAUUUGCAGGUGCCAACGAAGAGGAUUGACAAAGAAGAUAGUAGUCCAAACUUGCAAAAUACUUUUUUUCAGAUAUCUAGUCCUAAUAAGACUCCAGGUGCAAGGCUAACUGUUAUUUCUUCAAGUGUGCUCAUACAAGCUGAACAAGGAAUUCUCAAAUGUUUAAAGCAAUGGGCUGUCAGGUGCAACAUUCCUCUUGCUUCGAGUGCCCAUUGCAGGGCUGUCAGGCGCAAUAGAUAUGGCCUUUGAUCUACAUUAAAACAUCAGAUUACAUACUAUGAUGAUCCUCGCAGAAUAUACGUUGCUAACUUACACAUUGUCAAAGAAACAUUUCAUUGAAGAUUGUGCAGCUUUCAUACCUUGUAGAUUUAGAGGUGGUCUUUGAUGAUUUCGACUUGGCGACAUUGUCUUCAAUUGCAUCACUCGGACAUAGAAGUAGAGGGAGUGCAGUUUCAGUUUCGAUUGAACAUGGAAGAACAACCUUUGUAAUGGGUUUUUUCUUUCUUUUGUCCCUGCAUUAGUUUCACAUAUUAGCAUCAUUAGGACAAGAUUAUGAUAAAAACAGUAAUAUUGAAGCAAGCACUACCUUUUUUGCUUUGCUACUUCAGCAUAGACAGCUAGUGCUUCCGGAGCAGCAUCUUUACAGCUUUGCCAUCUAUGUCCAUAGGCCUUGCAAAUUGGACAUUGGUGCUGGCCUUUAUUUCCCUUGCCCUUGCUAUUCUCGGCACCACUUUUAUGCCUCUGUACUUUUGGCCUCCCAGGGGCCCUCCUAAGGAUUGGGGGAUUCAAAAUGAAAUCUUUGUUCACACUUGGCCAUUGAGACAUGUCGGUCAGGCCAGGAAGAACAUGGGCAUAAGCUGCAGUGAACUUGGCAACGCUGUAAUAGUCAUCAACAAAAUCUGCUAUGGUGACUCCC